RNAcentral lists this ribosomal RNA (583 nucleotides) under Cortinarius bulliardii. Its description in RNAcentral is "eukaryotic LSU rRNA". The stretch from base 203 to 356 matches the Rfam family "5.8S ribosomal RNA". Lineage: Eukaryota; Fungi; Basidiomycota; Agaricomycetes; Agaricales; Cortinariaceae. The record is from RNAcentral.
AGAACCUGCGGAAGGAUCAUUAUUGAAAUAAACCUGAUGGGUUGCUGCUGGUUCUCUAGGGAGCAUGUGCACACCUUGUCAUCUUUAUAUCUCCACCUGUGCACCUUUUGUAGGCCCUGGAUGUUUUCUCCAUGGUCUAUGUUGCUUCUGCAUUUACUCCAAUGUAUGUCAAUAGAAUGUAUGUGCCUUAUGAAAUCUAUACAACUUUCAGCAACGGAUCUCUUGGCUCUCGCAUCGAUGAAGAACGCAGCGAAAUGCGAUAAGUAAUGUGAAUUGCAGAAUUCAGUGAAUCAUCGAAUCUUUGAACGCACCUUGCGCUCCUUGGUAUUCCGAGGAGCAUGCCUGUUUGAGUGUCAUUAAUAUAUAUCAACCUCUUCUUUGUUGGAGUGGUUUGGAUGUGGGGGGUUUGCUGGCCUCUUAAAGGGUCAGCUCCUCUGAAAUGCAUUAGCAGAACGACCUGUUCAUUGGUGUGAUAACUAUCUACGCUAUUGAACAGUGAAGGCAGUUCAGCUUUCUAACCGUCCUUGGACAAUUUAUCAUUAAUGUGACCUCAAAUCAGGUAGGACUACCCGCUGAACUUAAG